ACAUGCUUGGUUUGGGUCGGUGCGGUCAGCGGGAUAUGACCCCGCCCCGAGCGCAAACAUUCUUUUGUCUGUGUGUGGUGUCACCACAAGGGGAACGAGAAGCAUGGAAAAACCUAGCGUGAGCGAAAUGCUUCAAACGAUACGCGGUUCACGCGCGCACGCACGCACAGCCAGCGAACACGUAACGCAGCUGGCAUCCACCAGAUGUCGCCAUCGUUCAAGUUUUACCCCCAUCUCCCUCGUAAGGCGCAUGCGUGGUUCGCUCACGUCCACAUUUCCCCAAGUAAGCCUUGAGUGGACGAGGCACUUCCGCUCGUUGUAUUUUGAAAGGGCGCCGAGCGGACGCGUCGCGGAUGUUUUCUUUUGGCCGUUGAGUUUGAUGCCGCUCGCUCGCACAGCAUCGACGCGGCAGGAAGCGGAGCUACGAGCAGAGCCACGAGCGGACCGCUAGCGACGGCCAGCAGCGGCAGCAGCAGCAGCAGCAGCAGCAGCAGCAUGGCGACGCCAGGAGCGGAGCCCCUGCUCGGCCAGCCGGUGGCAUCGCCGCCGCCGCCGCCCGGCCACAUCGGCGCCAACGGCGGGGCCGCGCCGCCUAACAGCCGCGGCUUGGAGCGAGCGCUGGAGGAGGCGACGCUCAGCGGCGCGCUCAACCUCAGUGCCAGGAAACUCAAGGAGUUCCCGCGGACGGCGGCCGGAGUCGACCUGAGCGAUACGGUGGAAGCAGAUUUGUCCAAGAACCGUCUGUCGGACGUGCCCUCGGAAGUGUGCCACCUGGUGGCCUUGGAGAGCCUCAACUUGUACCACAACUGCAUCAGAAGCAUCCCGGACGCCGUCAUCAGCCUGCACUCGCUCACCUGGCUCAACCUCAGUCGCAACCAGCUGAGCUCGUUACCGGCCUGCUUGUGCACUCUGCCGCUCCGAGUCCUCAACGCCAGCAACAAUAAACUGGUCAGCCUGCCCGAGAGCGUCGGACAACUGCGUCGCCUCAUGGAGCUGGACAUUAGUUGUAACGAGCUCACGACCCUACCGCCACACAUCGGACGUCUUCGGGCCUUACGGGAGCUCAACGUACGACGGAAUCUGCUCUGCGUCCUUCCGGAAGACCUGGCCGACCUUCCUCUGGUCAAGUUGGACUUCUCGUGCAACAAGGUGUCGAGCAUUCCGCUGAGCUACCGCAAAAUGGCGCGGCUGCAGGCCCUGCGCCUGGAGAACAACCCGCUGCAGAGCCCGCCGGCACAGAUCUGUCUCAAGGGCAAAGUUCACAUCUUCAAGUAUCUCAGCACGGAAGCGUGUCGCAGCGACAAGAUGGCCGACGCGCUCGACCUGCCCGUCGUGGAGCGCCUCAGCCUGAUGCGCGGCGAGGACUCGGAGCAGCAGAGGAAGCAAGACAGCGACUCGGGAGUGGACAGCGACGUCGGAGACAAGAGGCCGCUGUCGGCGACCGAGCCGUCGGACGAAGACACGCUGAGUCUCAACGUGCCCAUGAGCCACAUCACCGAGGAGGACGGACUCUGCAAGGACGACUCCAGCGAACACGUCAGCUCCCUGACGGGUACACGGGCAAUUCGGUCCAGCCCGAUGGCUUGCUUUUUUGCCCCUUUCUUUUGCACACAAGCCAACAAAGCGCACGGAAAUGGAACGUCUCGUGUCCGUGCAGAUCCCAGCUCGGAGGCGGCGCGUCUAACCGAGGAGAGCCCCAGCGAGGGCCAGACGGCGGCGACGGCGCCAGACUCGGACGAGCCGCUGCGGAUCGACGAAGACUUUCACUGGACGUCAGAGCACGAGUCAAAGGUGACGGGGGACGACUCGGAGGUGAUCGGCCAGCUGAAGGAGGCCGCGGAGCUUGUGCGGAAUCCCGGCAGAAUCAACCUGGAGCAGGAGGAGCUGUGCGGCGUGCGACUGUACCCGGUGGAAAGGCUCACGGCGGACCCCUCCGUCAACGGGCAGGACAGCGACGAUGACGACGACGGCGGCAACGCGCCAAAGCGACUGAACCGUUCUCCGAGCAGACUUCCCACAAUGUCCGCUGCGCCCUUUGGACUCAAACCUCGCUCGGUGUUCCUACGCAGCCAUAAGAGUGUGGAGUGUGUGGACCCGCAGUUCACCAUGAGGAGGAAGAUGGAGCAGCUGAGGGAAGAACUGGAGCUGAUGGAACAGCUCCGAGACAGUAUCGAGAGCCGGCUGAAGGUGGUGCUUCCCGAUGACCUGGGCUCGUCGCUGAUGGACGGCGUGGUGCUUUGCCACCUGGCCAAUCACGUUCGCCCGCGCUCUGUGGCCAGCAUCCACGUGCCCUCGCCCGCCGUGCCCAAACUCAGCAUGGCAAAGUGUCGCCGCAACGUGGAGAACUUCCUGGACGCCUGUCGGAAGACGGGGGUGCCCGAGGUGCCGCGCUCGCCCGUUGCGGAGCGUAGCUGCCCGCUGACGUCAUGCCCGGCCGGAGGCGGAGCUGUCAGAGCAGUGGGCCAUGUGGCAAAGCUCAAGUUCCAAUCCAAAAAGACAAGCUGUGCCUGCCACAGCACAUCCUGGAGGAGAAAGGCCUUCUCAAGGUCUGCGCCAUGGUGCAGGCCUUGCUGGAGCAGAAGGGGGCCGCACCGGGAGCGGAAGCGCGUGCCUGACCAUGACGCCCGCCACCAAGCGGAACCUUGGUGGCCCGCCGCUAAAGGCAAACUUUGGGGGACAAGGCUUGUUUUUCCAGGACUGAACUUGAACUGGAUAACGCCACAUUGGUGUGCAUUGAAGAUGACGACCUAUUUUUGCCAAGUCUAUUUUUAUCAUCAUCAUUGUGUGGAUUUUUGCAAGGACGUUUGUAGCACCUCUGCAAACUCCCUUUUUUUCUUGGCCCAGAAGAGCAAAAUACGGCACGGCGGCAAGCUUGGAGUGAAACGUGCGAAACGAGUGGCGCUAGUGAGCCCGUUGACACUGUCGCUUGGGACAGCAUUAACACGACAAGAGCAACAAAGGCAACUACACCAGUGCCACUCUGAUGAAGGUGCAAGUACAAGCCCAAACAUGGCAGGUAAUUAAACCCAAAUAUCUUGUUUGUGAUGAAAGAACCAGUUCAAUAAUUGACACGUGAAAACAAAAUGAACAACUAGCAACAAAGGCAGUUGAGGAAGGACUUUUAUUGCUAAUGUAGCGAAAGCGGACGGGUGUUGGCAUGUUCAGGCAUUGAGGAACUUGGCGUGAUGCUUGAUAUGGUCGCCGAUGAACGAGUAGAUGAAGAAGUAGCUGUGGUCGUAACCCUGCGGACAGGACAGGACAGGACAGGGAAAGGAAAAAAAAAGUUAGAAGCCUUUUAACAUUCAAAGGGGCACUGUCAGCAUUGUGCAACAAUUUGGCUACGACUGACAGGCUGCAGGCGGAACACCACGGGGAUCUUCUUGUCAGAGCAGACGGCGAUCAAGUUGUCGGGCAGCAGCUGGCCGGCCGACAGGAACUGGUCGUCGCGGCCCUGGUCCAGCAGGAUGUCGAGCGGCGGGCCCGAGUAGCCCGCAGCCAGAACCGUGGCGUCGUAGGCCUUGGGAGAGAGAGAGGGAGAGAUGUUGGCGUGACGCUCUUUGGCUUCAACGCUUGGGCGGCAAACGUACCUCCCAGGCGUCGCGCUGGGGGCCCAGGUAAGCGGCGAAGGCUUUCUGCCCCCACGGGCACUGCGUGGGGUUGCAGAUGGGAGCGAAGGCUGACACCGCCUGGGCAAACACCAAAAAGCCCAUUGGGCAUCCGAGCGGAUGGCCGUCCGGCCCUCCUCAAGCAAGCUGUACCUUGUACUUUCCAGGGUUCUUGAGGGCACAAAUGAGCGCCCCGUGGCCACCCAUGGAGUGGCCGCUGAUGGACAUCCUGUCGGGGUCGGCCGGGAACUUGUCGUUGAUCACUUUGGGGAGCUGCGGGCGCCGUCAAAAAGGGAGAAAAGCCACGGCGCUUGUUGUUUCAAGGACGGCGCAAAAGCCUGCCACCGUACCUCCCGGGUCACGUAGGAGUACAUGCGGUAGUUGCUCUUCCACGGCUCUUGGGUGGCGUCCACGUAGAAACCGGCGCCGCUUCCCAAAUCCCAGCUGUCGUCCUCGCCCUCCACGCCGCAGCCGCCUGGAACCCACGUGCGGCUAAACUUGAGCAAAGAACACGGCCGGCAUCUCAACACAGCACAGCACGUACGCGGGCUGGUGUCCGGCGCCACCACGAUGAUGCCGUUCUCGGCCGCGGCCAGCUGACUUCCCGCUUUGGUGAUGAAGUUCUGCUCGGUGCACGUCAGGCCUGGAAGACAGCGCUGGGCGUAAGGAGGCUCAAAAAGCAAACAAAUGUCUCUGAUGAGAUGUACACCUGCCUGGCCCGGUUCUAAUUCAAACGAGGCGACCUCCGGUUCUCACCUGAGAGCCAGUACAGGACGGGACACUUCUGCGUCUCCGCCUUGGGCGGCAGGAAGAUGGCAAACUUCAUUUUGCACUUGAGCUCCACGCUGCAGCGACAACCACGAGAAGAAGGUGAGCCAAAAGCCAAAGCGAGAUGACGACCUGCAGUUGCGUCGGCGACAAACGCCGGCCGCGCCCUCACCUGUCAUGUUCAAAGACCUUCUGGAAACCUCCUGCGCACUUGUUGGAGGACACCUGAGUGAGCGCCAUCUGAUGGUGGGACCGAGCAUUGCGUUAAGGUGCCACAAGAAACAAACUGACAUUUAGCAGACAAAGUUCAUAUGACUCCAACCAGUAGGUGUCGGUAGCGCCCAAUGGAGCUGGUGCCACCUCGCCGUAAAACAAAACGAAGAAGAAAAUGACGUCACUUCCUGUUCACGAACGAGUCGCGCAUUGCAUUUCCCGUUCACCAACUGAACGGAAUUGUGAGUGAAAGAGUCACUGAGUGAGUGAUUUGCAUUUCCAGAUCAUCGCGAGACCGGAUCAGUGAGGGAACGAAUCGUGACUUUCCCGUUCACGAACGAGGCAAUGCAGUUGACCGCCUGGCUUCCAUCCCGUGCGUGCAUCAACGCAUCAGUCAGUGAACGUGUUGCGUCGUCUCCCUCCUGGCGUGGACUAUGGAAGGCAGAAUGUCGAUUUGCCAAGGAAAGCAUGAAGCACUCACUGAAACACCACUUCUCUCAUGCACCUUUUCUCCAGCUAACUUUAUUGCAGUGCUUCUCAAUUAUUUUCUGUUACGCCCCCCCCCCUAGCAAGAAGAAAACUAUUCGCGCCCCCCCUCCCCACCGUGACUAUCCUAACUUGUCUUGUAAGUCGUAAAAUGUUGCACUGUCGCAAACGUGACAGAAGUAACAAUGAGAGCGCCACUGCCCCCUGCUGUAGUAAACGCGCAAUUACACUUUAUUCUAGUACUGCCAAAAAAAAAGCCUGUUCCCCAGGGUCACACGCGCCCCCCAAGGGGGGCGCGCCCCACUAUUUGAGAAGCACUGGCCUAGGUGACUGAUUCACAAUUUGGUUUUGUCUGAUAUCAGAGAUUAAAUAAAGAAAACCAACUGGC
Molecule: RNA transcript, 5460 nt
Organism: Syngnathus typhle (broad-nosed pipefish)
Lineage: Eukaryota; Metazoa; Chordata; Actinopteri; Syngnathiformes; Syngnathidae
Gene: lrch1
Gene name: leucine-rich repeats and calponin homology (CH) domain containing 1
Exons: 20
Source: RefSeq, a predicted model, not a curated record